RNAcentral lists this ribosomal RNA (373 nucleotides) under uncultured organism. RNAcentral describes it as "partial 16S ribosomal RNA". It matches the Rfam family "Bacterial small subunit ribosomal RNA", at positions 526 to 896 of the family's 1533-position model. The record is from RNAcentral.
GUAGGUGGGCAAGCGUUGUCCGGAAUAUUGGGCGUAAAGCGCGCGCAGGGCGGUCCUUUAAGUCUGAUGUGAAAGCCCACGGCUCAACCGUGGAGGGUCAUUGGAAACUGGGGGACUUGAGUACAGAAGAGGAAAGCGGAAUUCCAAGUGUAGCGGUGAAAUGCGUAGAGAUUUGGAGGAACACCAGUGGCGAAGGCGGCUUUCUGGUCUGUAACUGACGCUGAGGCGCGAAAGCGUGGGGAGCAAACAGGAUUAGAUACCCUGGUAGUCCACGCCGUAAACGAUGAGUGCUAAGUGUUAGGGGGUUUCCCGCCCCUUAGUGCUGCAGCUAACGCAUUAAGCACUCCGCCUGGGGAGUACGGCCGCAAGGCUG